RNAcentral lists this unclassified non-coding RNA (167 nucleotides) under uncultured fungus. Its description in RNAcentral is "sequence contains ITS1". The record is from RNAcentral. Lineage: Eukaryota; Fungi.
UUAAUAGUUUAUGCUCAAUUAGGAGACGUUGCCAUUCUUAUUCUUAUAGUGUUUAAAAGGUGUAAAAAGUAGUGUGUGCACAGUGUGAAGGAAUGAAUGGGUCGGAUCUCUAAAAAGAGCAUCCUUGCAUUUCAUGAAUGAUCCUUCCGCAGGUUCACCUACGGAAA